GUACACGCUGUGACUAGCAUAUCAAUAAGCGGAGGAAAAGAAACUAACAAGGAUUCCCCUAGUAACGGCGAGUGAAGCGGGAAGAGCUCAAAUUUGAAAUCUUAAAGGGUUUCCCUUUACGAAUUGUAGUUUAAAGAAGUGUUUUCUGUUGAGGUUUUGGUAAAAGUUCUUUGGAAUAGGACAUCAUAGAGGGUGAGAAUCCCGUAUUUGACCUUUACUUUCAACUUUGUGAUACACUUUCAAAGAGUCGGAUUGUUUGGGAAUGCAGUCCAAAAUGGGUGGUAAAUUUCAUCUAAAGCUAAAUAUUGGCGAGAGACCGAUAGCGAACAAGUACCGUGAGGGAAAGAUGAAAAGAACUUUGAAAAGAGAGUUAAACAGUACGUGAAAUUGUCAAAAGGGAAGCGUUUGACACCAGUGUUGUUUUUCUGAAAAUCAAUUAAAGAACUGUUUAUGCUAAGUUGUUUAGACUUUAUCAGCUAACUGUUUAGUUUUGAGCUUUUCUUUAAUGCACUUUUCAGUUAACAAGUCAACAUCAAUUUCUUUUGCUGUAAAAAAGCUUGAGGAAGGUGGCUUGAGAUUCGUCUUAAGUGUUUAUAGCCUCUUGCCUAUGCAGUCGGAGAGAUUGAGGUCUGCAGCGUAGAUCCUUCGGGGCUAAAUGCAUUUGUGCUAAGUUAUAGCAUUUUAUAGACAACUUGUUGACUAUGAUUUGUCUUGUAGCUUACUCGCUUAUGUUAUUUUACCUACGCUUAGGAUGUUGACAGCAGUAUAGACUGU
This 774-nucleotide ribosomal RNA is filed under the name uncultured Neocallimastigales. RNAcentral's name for it is "partial large subunit ribosomal RNA". It matches the Rfam family "Eukaryotic large subunit ribosomal RNA", at positions 22 to 637 of the family's 3401-position model. Lineage: Eukaryota; Fungi; Neocallimastigomycota; Neocallimastigomycetes; Neocallimastigales. The record is from RNAcentral.